RNAcentral lists this ribosomal RNA (492 nucleotides) under uncultured bacterium. RNAcentral's name for it is "partial 16S ribosomal RNA". It matches the Rfam family "Bacterial small subunit ribosomal RNA", at positions 29 to 507 of the family's 1533-position model. The record is from RNAcentral.
AGUGAACGCUGGCGGUAGGCCUAACACAUGCAAGUCGAACGGCAGCACAGUAAGAGCUUGCUCUUACGGGUGGCGAGUGGCGGACGGGUGAGGAAUACAUCGGAAUCUACUUUUUCGUGGGGGAUAACGUAGGGAAACUUACGCUAAUACCGCAUACGACCUACGGGUGAAAGCAGGGGAUCUUCGGACCUUGCGCGAUUGAAUGAGCCGAUGUCGGAUUAGCUAGUUGGCGGGGUAAAGGCCCACCAAGGCGACGAUCCGUAGCUGGUCUGAGAGGAUGUUCAGCCACACUGGAACUGAGACACGGUCCAGACUCCUACGGGAGGCAGCAGUGGGGAAUAUUGGACAAAGGGCGCAAGCCUGAUCCAGCCAUACCGCGUGGGUGAAGAAGGCCUUCGGGUUGUAAAGCCCUUUUGUGGGGAAAGAAAAGCAGCAGGUUAAUACCCCGCUGUUCUGACGGUACCCAAAGAAUAAGCACCGGCUAACUUCGUG